GAUCCUGGCUCAGGACGAACGCUGGCGGCGUGCUUAACACAUGCAAGUCGAACGGAGCACCCUUGACUGAGGUUUCGGCCAAAUGAUAGGAAUGCUUAGUGGCGGACUGGUGAGUAACGCGUGAGGAACCUGCCUUCCAGAGGGGGACAACAGUUGGAAACGACUGCUAAUACCGCAUGACGCAUGACCGGGGCAUCCCGGACAUGCCAAAGAUUUAUCGCUGGAAGAUGGCCUCGCGUCUGAUUAGCUAGAUGGUGGGGUAACGGCCCACCAUGGCGACGAUCAGUAGCCGGACUGAGAGGUUGACCGGCCACAUUGGGACUGAGAUACGGCCCAGACUCCUACGGGAGGCAGCAGUGGGGAAUAUUGGGCAAUGGGCGCAAGCCUGACCCAGCAACGCCGCGUGAAGGAAGAAGGCUUUCGGGUUGUAAACUUCUUUUGUCAGGGAACAGUAGAAGAGGGUACCUGACGAAUAAGCUCCGGCUAACUACGUGCC
RNAcentral lists this ribosomal RNA (496 nucleotides) under uncultured bacterium. Its description in RNAcentral is "bacterial SSU rRNA". It matches the Rfam family "Bacterial small subunit ribosomal RNA", at positions 15 to 509 of the family's 1533-position model. The record is from RNAcentral.